AUUUGGAGUUCCGUAGCACAUUGCCAAGGCUCUAUGACUUGGAAGAUAACGAGUACACCGAGCUGGACACUGUGCGCAUUUAUAAGGAAACCUUGGAAAAAUUCAUGCAAGAUUACCCAGACUUCAUCGGAUCGAAACUGAUCUAUGCGCCGAUACGUAAUACAAGCCCAACACAAGUUGAGGAGUAUAUACGUAUCUGCAUUGAAAUAAAGGUUAAAUACCCCGAUUUCAUUGCUGGUUUCGACUUGGUUGGCCAGGAAGAGCU
Rhagoletis zephyria (snowberry fruit fly) is the source of this 265-nucleotide long non-coding RNA. RefSeq lists it as uncharacterized. The record is from RefSeq and is a predicted model, not a curated record. NCBI's taxonomy places the organism in Eukaryota, Metazoa, Arthropoda, Insecta, Diptera, Tephritidae.